UGCGAAGGCAGCUUUCUGGAUCAUUACUGACACUGAGGAACGAAAGCAUGGGUAGCGAAGAGGAUUAGAUACCCUCGUAGUCCAUGCCGUAAACGAUGUGUGUUAGACGUUGGAAAUUUAUUUUCAGUGUCGCAGCGAAAGCAAUAAACACACCGCCUGGGGAGUACGACCGCAAGGUUAAAACUCAAAUGAAUUGACGGGGACCCGCACAAGUAGUGGAGCAUGUGGUUUAAUUCGAAGAUACGCGCAGAACCUUACCAACACUUGACAUGUUCGUCGCGACUCUAAGAGAUUAGAGUUUUCGGUUCGGCCGGACGAAACACAGGUGCUGCAUGGCUGUCGUCAGCUCGUGUCGUGAGAUGUUGGGUUAAGUCCCGCAACGAGCGCAACCCUCACUUUUAGUUGCCAUCAUUAAGUUGGGCACUCUGAAAGAACUGCCAGUGAUAAGCUGGAGGAAGGUGGGGAUGACGUCAAGUCCUCAUGGCCCUUACGUGUUGGGCUACACACGUGCUACAAUGGCAUCUACAACAGGAAGCAAAACGGCAACGUUAAGCAAAUCCCGAAAAGAUGCCUCAGUUCGGAUUGCACUCUGCAACUCGAGUGCAUGAAGCUGGAAUUACUAGUAAUCGUGGAUCAGCGUGCCACGGUGAAUGCGUUCCCGGGUCUUGUACACACCGCCCGUCACACCAUGGGAGUUGGUUCUACCUUAAGGCAAGGCUUUAAACCCUUGACCACGGUAUAGUCAGCGACUGGGGUGAAGUCGUAACAAGGUAACCGUA
Molecule: ribosomal RNA, 779 nt
Filed under: uncultured bacterium
Lineage: Bacteria
Description: bacterial SSU rRNA
Rfam family: Bacterial small subunit ribosomal RNA
Source: RNAcentral